This 86-nucleotide transfer RNA is filed under the name Actinobacillus succinogenes. RNAcentral's name for it is "tRNA-Leu". It matches the Rfam family "tRNA". From Rfam's summary of the family: Transfer RNA (tRNA) molecules are approximately 80 nucleotides in length. Their secondary structure includes four short double-helical elements and three loops (D, anti-codon, and T loops). Further hydrogen bonds mediate the characteristic L-shaped molecular structure. tRNAs have two regions of fundamental functional importance: the anti-codon, which is responsible for specific mRNA codon recognition, and the 3' end, to which the tRNAs corresponding amino acid is attached (by aminoacyl-tRNA synthetases). tRNAs cope with the degeneracy of the genetic code in two manners: having more than one tRNA (with a specific anti-codon) for a particular amino acid; and 'wobble' base-pairing, i.e. permitting non-standard base-pairing at the 3rd anti-codon position. The record is from RNAcentral. RNAcentral also lists the same sequence under 1 other name. Lineage: Bacteria; Pseudomonadati; Pseudomonadota; Gammaproteobacteria; Pasteurellales; Pasteurellaceae.
GCUUCGAUGGUGGAAUUGGUAGACACGCUGUCUUCAGGUGGCAGUGUCCUUAGGAUGUGCGAGUUCGAGUCUCGCUCGAAGCACCA